Molecule: ribosomal RNA, 460 nt
Filed under: uncultured bacterium
Lineage: Bacteria
Description: partial 16S ribosomal RNA
Rfam family: Bacterial small subunit ribosomal RNA
Source: RNAcentral
CCUACGGGUGGCAGCAGUGAGGAAUAUUGGUCAAUGGGCGUAAGCCUGAACCAGCCAAGUCGCGUGAGGGAUGAAGGUUCUAUGGAUCGUAAACCUCUUUUAUAAGGGAAUAAAGUGCGGGACGUGUCCCGUUUUGUAUGUACCUUAUGAAUAAGGAUCGGCUAACUCCGGUCCAGCAACCGCGGUAAUAAGGAGGAUCAGAAAGUUAUCCGGAUUUAUUGGGUUUAAAGGGGGCGGAGGGGGCAUUUUCAGUCCGGGGGGAAAGUCUGUGGAUCAAACCUAGAAUUGCCGUUGAAACUGGGAGUCUUGAGUAGGUUUGAGGCAGGCGGAAUGCGUGGUGUAGAGGUGAAAUGCUUAGAUAUCACGCAGAACCCCGAUUGCGAAGGCAGCCUGCCAAGCCAUGACUGACGCUGAUGCACGAAAGCGUGGGGAUCAAACAGGAUUAGAUACCCUUGUAGUC